Long non-coding RNA from Equus caballus (horse), 1275 nucleotides. NCBI's taxonomy places the organism in Eukaryota, Metazoa, Chordata, Mammalia, Perissodactyla, Equidae. The record is from Ensembl.
CUAGAUACCUUCCAUUUUUCAUAGAACUCAGCCCUUAAUCCCUGAAAACAGGCUGCAAAAAUUGACUCUGUUGAUUAGUUCUUGUCAGGUGUUUUUCCCCACUUUUCAAUUUGCUUCACAAGGACCUCCUCAUAUCACUCUUUCUUGAUGUUGAAAAAUGGACAGGAUCUUGACACUGCACAUUCCCUAGUCAUCAUGUCACAGUGGCCUGGAGUGAUCCAAAGUUUGCUGUGGACGAGUAUGUGGGAAUGCUACCUGUCUCUGGUGUUGAAGAGUGGAUAACUGCUCUGUUUCCUUCAUUUUCUAUCCAACGGCUCACAUGGGUGAAAAACACCUCCCUUCUCUCAGGUGGGAGCCAUCAAGUUGAGGUUUAAGUUUGAUUCAACUCAAUGAGAAUGGUGGUUCUUUAAAAGGAUGCAGAGAAAUCUCACAGAGCUCAAGGACAAGAUGUGAAGCUGGGCUUAAUGGGAACCAGGAAGCAAUCAAGAAAGGAGACUCUCUUUUUCUUUUUUUGGAGCUGCAUAGAUGAUCUCUUUUUGUCUUCUCUGUAAAUUUCUGGUUCUCUCCACCCAUUGCCGUCCUUUGCUGAUCUUCAUCAAGAUCCAAAGUGGCCAUCAGAUCUACACAGCAAUCCUUCGGUUCCUAUAGCUGCCACUCAUUGGCUGGAAAACGUGUCGUUUAGUUCAAAAGCCUUAAGUUAGAAAAAUCUCAGAGGGUAAUGUCCAGUCAGUGGAUUAGGUAGGCUUGAGCCAGUGUCCAUCUCUGGGCAAUCAGCCAUGAUCAGGGCCAGCAGAGUCAUACAGUGGGUGCAGCUGCCUGUGUGUUAGGCUAUGGGAAAGUUCAUGUUCUGAGUUGGGCAUGCAACAGAUCUGAAUACAGGAAGUUCCCAGGAUGCCAUGGUUUCCAGACUUCUGUGAUGCUGAAAUUGAGGAAGAUUAGCCCUGAGCUAACAUCUGCUGCCAAUCCUCCUUUUUUUGCUGAGGAAGACUGACCCUGAGCUAACAUCCAUGCCCAUCUUCCUCUACUUUAUACAUGGGACGCCUGCUACAACAUGGCUUGCCAAGCAGUGCCAUGUCUGCACCCAGGAUCUGAAUGCUCGAACCCCGGGUCGCCGAAGCAGAACAUGAAAACUUAACUGAUGCACCACCGGGCCAGCCCCUAAAUGAACUUAACUUUAAAUUGACAUAUCAAUAAAUUGCUUUGAUUAUUCGAAUCGCAGCGAUACUGAGAAACACAGAUAAGAGAGAGAUUCCUUGAAUGAACUAAAUAUAGAUU